UGUUUAUUAACCAAAAUCACUAAUUCAAUCAAUAAUAUCUACUGAGAAAUCAAUAACGUAUCGGAUCCAAACAGUUAAUGUUUGUUUACUUGUACGUUAUACGAAAUGGAAAUCGCUGGUGCAUUUUGAAUUUCAUUCCGAAUCAGUAUUACACUGUUACACGCGAACUUUAUUAACCUUUUCUUGCAGUCCAGUGUACAAGAAAGGUAAAUUUUCAUAGAUCUCACGACACUGCGGUACCACAAAACCUCACCUGCGACUGGACCCAACAACGUAACAUGAACACAAAAACGAAUUUUCCGAAAGAUGGGGUCAUUUUAAAGAAUUCUCUUCCCAUACGCAAAGUUCUGAUAACACAUUUUGGCAGCCGUUAUUAUCGACCAUCCAUACAUAUAUAACUGCUAAUUCUUUCACUGGUGAAAAAUAAAAUAGUCCCGACAACUGACCAAGGCGUCGCGAUGAGUUUCUAUAGUAAAAAAAAAAGUCACCACAAAGAUAUCAAUCAACAUGAACUAACGAUGCCACACACGUUCGGAAUGGCAGACAACUCUUACAAAUAAAACGUGAUGGCAUGGCGUGGUAUCAUGCUACAGUUUAUGGCACUCAGGAAAGCGAUAGAGUUAGAAAGUCCAUAAAAAUUUAGAUUGCUUUCAGAGAUUAAACAAGUAGGUAGGUUUUCUAGCGUUAACUGACUGUGAAGUUCAUGUUUCCAUUCUGCUCAUUGUAAGGGAAUUAACUGGAUUGAAACGAAUUCGUUUUUACGAAACCACAUCACAAAAUGAAAAUAAUCUUAUGACUUUUUAUUACCGAUAUAAACAUUUUAAACAUUCAAAAGCAUAUGCAUAGUUCCAGUAAGUCGAUACUGUAAUAUUUCUUGAAGAAAUUGUAGUUGCUCAUUACUUAGCUCCUUUGGAAUACCGAAAUACCAAAUUACAAUGGUAGCAAUGUCUACAUAUAUAUAUAUAUAAGGAACUUGUCCUGACUCCUGGCUAACUAACUGAUUGAUGUUCAAUAUACAACCGAAAUAAUUGGAUCGAUUUCAAUUAAAAUUGUGACAGCAUAAAAGAAUGGGUUUUCAGAAAAUCGGAUUCUAAAGGGUUGAAAAAAUCAAAACUUUUACCUGAAAUAUAUUCAAAUAAGGUGUCAUUAAAAGAUGACUAAAUUCUAAGUAUCAUAGCUCUGGAGCCAUAAGUGGUAUAGUCACUAUUUCAAAUAUAGGGCCAUGAUGAGUCCCAACACGCCCCUGGUUUUUCAAUUUUGUCAAAAUUGUUAAACUCCUUUCCGGAAAUUAAUUACGAAUUAGUUUUGAUUAGUUUAGAAAACUAUUGCAGCUUAAUUCGUGAAGUUUAAGAGUUUAUACACUCUAUUUUUGAGUGUCCGAGGAGGCCUUUAGUUUUGGUCUUUCAUAUUCGGUCUUGUUUUUUGUCUUGGUCUUGUUCUUUCGGUCUUGGUCUUACUAGUAUAAAUACAUUACGACCGAACAGUCGUGUUAGCUGGUAUUACUAGUAGGUUCAGUGUGCUGUUGCUAUUGCUAUUACUUUUUAGAUUGGUUUGUAUAGACUAUAUCGAUGACGUAAACGAAAUCUUUUAAUAAUUUUACUAUCGAAACAUUCACCUGUUAGGACCAUUACAAUUCUACCUUUAAUCAAGAUAGGUAAACGUGCUGAUGCCUUAGCUAGUACGUUAUUAUUGCAUGCUGAAGACUCCGUUGAUAUGUAGGCAAAGUGCAUAAUGCAAUAGUAGUGUUUUGACAACGAUUUCUUUAGGUAUGUAAACGCGUAAAUCCAUAAUGAAUCGUCAUUAUUUGAAUAGGGAAUUACUCGUCCAUCAACGGCACAACCGUUCCACCGGAUGCAUGUAGCGGUAUCCGCCAGAACCACUUGCCGUACAUCACUUCAUGACAUCAAUUAUUUCAUUGACUACCUGUUUGUAUGAAUGGAAACUCGUGUAUUAUGUGUACGUUAGCAAGUUAAUGAUUACGGGAACUGAUCCGAUGUGCGAUUGCCGUCUUUUUGUUUAAAACAAACGAAACGAGACGAAAUGGCGCAAACAAGAAUAGAGAUCGUCAGGCAUUUAAUUCACACCUAGUCGGGCUUUUCUAAUUUUAACAAGGUUAACAACAUAAAGUUGAUAAUAUUGAACACUGUUAACUCUUCAAUAGCAAAUCAGUGCUGAAUGUAGUGUAGAUACACGAAAGUGGGAAACCCUGGAUAACAAAUGAGAUUGUAGGAUUAAUAGAAGAAAGGCGGAAAUACAAAAACAGGACAGACGAAGAA
This 2276-nucleotide long non-coding RNA is filed under the name Agrilus planipennis (emerald ash borer). Its description in RNAcentral is "uncharacterized LOC108737723". The record is from RNAcentral. Lineage: Eukaryota; Metazoa; Arthropoda; Insecta; Coleoptera; Buprestidae.